This 193-nucleotide small nuclear RNA is filed under the name Neotoma lepida (desert woodrat). RNAcentral's name for it is "U2 spliceosomal RNA". It matches the Rfam family "U2 spliceosomal RNA". From Rfam's summary of the family: U2 is a small nuclear RNA (snRNA) component of the spliceosome (involved in pre-mRNA splicing). Complementary binding between U2 snRNA (in an area lying towards the 5' end but 3' to hairpin I) and the branchpoint sequence (BPS) of the intron results the bulging out of an unpaired adenosine, on the BPS, which initiates a nucleophilic attack at the intronic 5' splice site, thus starting the first of two transesterification reactions that mediate splicing. The record is from Rfam by way of RNAcentral. Lineage: Eukaryota; Metazoa; Chordata; Mammalia; Rodentia; Cricetidae.
AUCACUUCUUGUCCUUUUGGCUAAGGUGAAGUGUGAUAUCUGUUCUUAUCAGUUUAAUAUCACAUACAUCCUCUAUCUGAGGACAAUAUAGUAAAAAUGGACUUUUGGAGCAGGGAGAUGGAAUGAGAGCUUGCACUGUCCACUCCAUGCAGCAAUCUGAUAUUGUGGCACCUCCAGCAAUGGUGUACCCCAC